This is a long non-coding RNA of Athene cunicularia (burrowing owl), 214 nucleotides long. RefSeq lists it as uncharacterized. The record is from RefSeq and is a predicted model, not a curated record. NCBI's taxonomy places the organism in Eukaryota, Metazoa, Chordata, Aves, Strigiformes, Strigidae. The transcript has 3 exons.
UGCUGCUGGAGCAGACGGUGAGCGAGCUGAUGUCCGCGGGGAAGUCAUUUGCUCUGCUGGGCCAGGAAGUGCAAGAGCUGAGGAAGGAGUUGACGAGCAUUGCUGCAGAGAUGAGCCGUGUGAAGUCGGAACUUCUGGACAUGAGAACAGCGAUAUCUGUGAUGCCUUUGGAAGAGAACGUCCUGAUGUCUGCCUGGGCUCUGAAAAGUGCAGG